Molecule: ribosomal RNA, 435 nt
Filed under: uncultured bacterium
Lineage: Bacteria
Description: partial 16S ribosomal RNA
Rfam family: Bacterial small subunit ribosomal RNA
Source: RNAcentral
AACGAACGCUGGCGGCAUGCCUAACACAUGCAAGUCGAACGAUUGCCUUCGGGUGAUAGUGGCGCACGGGUGCGUAACGCGUGGGAAUCUGCCCUUAGGUUCGGAAUAACAGCUGGAAACGGCUGCUAAUACCGGAUGAUAUCGCGAGAUCAAAGAUUUAUCGCCUGAGGAUGAGCCCGCGUUGGAUUAGGUAGUUGGUGGGGUAAAGGCCUACCAAGCCGACGAUCCAUAGCUGGUCUGAGAGGAUGAUCAGCCACACUGGGACUGAGACACGGCCCAGACUCCUACGGGAGGCAGCAGUGGGGAAUAUUGGACAAUGGGCGCAAGCCUGAUCCAACAAUGCCGCGUGAGUGAUGAAGGCCCUAGGGUUGUAAAGCUCUUUUACCCGGGAAGAUAAUGACUGUACCGGGAGAAUAAGCCCCGGCUAACUCCGUG